CAUUUCUUGACUUCCUGUGUAUACCGCAUUCCACGAAAGAACUCACAAUGGGAAGGAACUCUCGACCUCUCAGGGUUGUGGUAGUGAGGAUCAAUUCUUCAAGGACAAGGACUUGGACUUUCAUUGUUGUGCCCUUAAAAGCUUAUCACAGUGCCUGAUACUUUGUGGAUUCUCAAUAGGUAUUCCUUAGCCAGUAGGUCUUCAGCAUUUGACAGGAAAAUCCUGAGGCCCGUUGUGUGGAAUGACUGCUAGCUAGAGUAACAGUGAGGAGAAAAACCUAUUGUAAAAUGAUUGUUUAAGGCUCUUUUUUUCCUCCCCACAAAGGGAUUUGCUUCCUAAGGAGAAGAACUUGGAAACUCUGUUGACCUUGGCUUUUCUAGAAAUAGAUAAAGCCUUUUCGAGUCAUGCCCGCCUGUCUGCUGAUGCAACUCUUCUGACCUCUGGGACUACUGCAACAGUAGCCCUAUUGCGAGAUGGUAUUGAACUGGUUGUAGCCAGUGUUGGGGACAGCCGGGCUAUUUUGUGUAGAAAAGGAAAACCCAUGAAGCUGACCAUUGACCAUACUCCAGAAAGAAAAGAUGA
Molecule: long non-coding RNA, 582 nt
Filed under: Homo sapiens (human)
Lineage: Eukaryota; Metazoa; Chordata; Mammalia; Primates; Hominidae
Description: non-protein coding lnc-ABCG2-2:2
Source: RNAcentral